CUGCCUCAAGGUUGCCCCAUGGUCCUUCUCACUCUGUGGUUGAUUAGCCAGUGUGCUUUUAUGGCAAGGUUUUCAGCUGCUGUUUUGCCUUUUGGUUUGCUGUAGUUCCCCCCCCCCCCCUUUAGUGGAGCUGUUUGCUGGCCUUGGUGGGGGCUAGGCACUUUAGUGUGGUUCCCUUCACCGACUGUAGUGGAUAGAGCACUGGGACAUAUUUUACACCUAUUUGCUGUGAUUGCCAGUUGCUGUGCGCAUAUGUGUGAACACUUCCAGUCAUUCAUUAAUCAAUAAAUUAGUUUUCUUUUGGAACCA
Lates calcarifer (barramundi perch) is the source of this 309-nucleotide long non-coding RNA. RefSeq lists it as uncharacterized. The record is from RefSeq and is a predicted model, not a curated record. Lineage: Eukaryota; Metazoa; Chordata; Actinopteri; Centropomidae. The transcript has 4 exons.